RNAcentral lists this ribosomal RNA (1164 nucleotides) under Spumella-like flagellate JBM08. Its description in RNAcentral is "bacterial LSU rRNA". It matches the Rfam family "Bacterial large subunit ribosomal RNA", at positions 1425 to 2593 of the family's 2925-position model. Lineage: Eukaryota; Chrysophyceae. The record is from RNAcentral.
ACGGGUUAAUAUUCCCGUACCGACAAUACUGCGAUGGGGGGACGGAGAAAGCUAGGCAGGCAUGGCGUUGGUAGUCCAUGUGAAAGUGCGUAGGAAGGGGGAUUAGGCAAAUCCGGUUCCCUAUAUUCUGAGACACGAGACGAGCCACUACGGUGGUGAAGCUGUUGACGCUACGCUUCCAGGAAAAGCCUCUAAGCUUCAGGUAUUGUCGACCGUACUCGAAACCGACACAGGUGGUCAGGUAGAGCAUACCAAGGCGCUUGAGAGAACUCGGGUGAAGGAACUAGGCAAAAUGGCACCGUAACUUCGGGAGAAGGUGCGCCGGUGAGGGUGAAGCAUUUACUGCGUAAGCCCACGCCGGUCGAAGAUACCAGGCCGCUGCGACUGUUUAUUAAAAACACAGCACUCUGCAAACACGAAAGUGGACGUAUAGGGUGUGACGCCUGCCCGGUGCUGGAAGAUUAAAUGAUGGGGUGCAAGCUCUUGAUUGAAGUCCCAGUAAACGGCGGCCGUAACUAUAACGGUCCUAAGGUAGCGAAAUUCCUUGUCGGGUAAGUUCCGACCUGCACGAAUGGCGUAACGAUGGCGGCGCUGUCUCCACCCGAGACUCAGUGAAAUUGAAAUCGCUGUGAAGAUGCAGUGUAUCCGCGGCUAGACGGAAAGACCCCGUGAACCUUUACUAUAGCUUUGCACUGGACUUUGAAUUUGCUUGUGUAGGAUAGGUGGGAGGCUUUGAAGCGUGGACGCCAGUUCGCGUGGAGCCAUCCUUGAAAUACCACCCUGGCAACUUUGAGGUUCUAACUCAGGUCCGUUAUCCGGAUCGAGGACAGUGUAUGGUGGGUAGUUUGACUGGGGCGGUCUCCUCCCAAAGCGUAACGGAGGAGUUCGAAGGUACGCUAGGUACGGUCGGACAUCGUGCUAAUAGUGCAAUGGCAUAAGCGUGCUUAACUGCGAGACUGACAAGUCGAGCAGAUGCGAAAGCAGGACAUAGUGAUCCGGUGGUUCUGUAUGGAAGGGCCAUCGCUCAACGGAUAAAAGGUACUCCGGGGAUAACAGGCUGAUACCGCCCAAGAGUUCAUAUCGACGGCGGUGUUUGGCACCUCGAUGUCGGCUCAUCUCAUCCUGGGGCUGUAGCCGGUCCCAAGGGUAUGGCUGUAAAAAAAG